Pieris brassicae (large cabbage white) is the source of this 483-nucleotide long non-coding RNA. RefSeq lists it as uncharacterized. NCBI's taxonomy places the organism in Eukaryota, Metazoa, Arthropoda, Insecta, Lepidoptera, Pieridae. The record is from RefSeq and is a predicted model, not a curated record. The transcript is spliced from 4 exons.
AAAAUGUAUCUUUCAGAAUCCCGUGGUAUGAAGAAAAUGGCUAUGGGAAUGAUGCCACUUAUCUUCCACGUAGGAGCCACGUCGACCUGGAUGAUAUUGACUACGAUUCUAGCGGCGAAAUCCGUGUUUAUUGGUAUCAUCUUACUCGUGUGCAAGAUUGCUGUUAGUGCAGCCAAGAUUGGAUCUUUCUUCACAACCUUAAAAGCACAUUCUGGUCAAGGUCACCACCACGAGUGGGCGUGGUCGCCACCGCAUGAGCAUCAUGGAUAUAGAAGUUUAAAUGAGAUCAGUGCGUAACAUAUCACAAAUAUUGGCUCACCAGGUCCCGUUUAUGAAUUGGGUCAUGGCUGGGGCGAAACGUCACACAAAUCGAUGCCCACUGAAUAUUCGGAGUAUCAAGUCGAUAAAAAAUCAAGAAUAGGAUAAAUUGCUGAAUCCAUUAAUAAAAUGCAUUAAUUUAUAAAUAAUUUAUUUCACAAUAAA